RNAcentral lists this ribosomal RNA (478 nucleotides) under uncultured Aspergillus. RNAcentral describes it as "partial 18S ribosomal RNA". It matches the Rfam family "Eukaryotic small subunit ribosomal RNA", at positions 539 to 920 of the family's 1831-position model. Lineage: Eukaryota; Fungi; Ascomycota; Eurotiomycetes; Eurotiales; Aspergillaceae. The record is from RNAcentral.
UUUUUGCAGGCCCAGUCUGGGCCCAGCAGCCCCCCAAAUUUCCCCUCCAAUAGCGUAUAUUAAAGUUGUUGCAGUUAAAAAGCUUGUAGUUGAACCUUGGGUCUGGCUGGCCGGUCCGCCUCACCGCGAGUACUGGUCCGGCUGGACCUUUCCUUUUGGGGAACCUCAUGGCCUUCACUGGCUGUGGGGGGAACCAGGACUUUUACUGUGAAAAAAUUAGAGUGUUCAAAGCAGGCCUUUGCUCGAAUACAUUAGCAUGGAAUAAUAGAAUAGGACGUGCGGUUCUAUUUUGUUGGUUUUUAGGACCGCCGUAAUGAUUAAUAGGGAUAGUCGGGGGCGACAAUAGUUCGGACUCAGGCCGAAAAGGGAUCGGACCUAUGCCGACUAGGGAUCGGACCUAUGCCGACUAGGGAUCGGACCUAUGCCGACUAGGGAUCGGACCUAUGCCGACUAGGGAUCGAUCCUUGCGAGUGACCCG